UAAACAACAUCUUUUGGCACAUAACAAUUUUGCAAACACACCAAGGAAGAAAUGAGUCAAAUGAGACAUGUUCAGUCUGUCUCCGGCACAAGUCUGGUCCAUGUUGUCAAAUAAUUCUGAAGAUUUGGACUAUUGCGAUGCUAUAAAUUAUCUUCUGUCAUAUAAUUUUGAUCCUUUUAUAUAUGAUACCCUUUAUGUUGUAUAACAAUUAUUGAAAAUGAGGUAGAUAUACCUUAUAAUAGUUUGGCCUCUUCUAUGUCUUUACACAUAGACUAUUU
RNAcentral lists this long non-coding RNA (278 nucleotides) under Mytilus galloprovincialis (Mediterranean mussel). Lineage: Eukaryota; Metazoa; Mollusca; Bivalvia; Mytilida; Mytilidae. The record is from RNAcentral.